RNAcentral lists this long non-coding RNA (247 nucleotides) under Elaeis guineensis (African oil palm). RNAcentral describes it as "long non-coding RNA (EGUI_LNC030711)". Lineage: Eukaryota; Viridiplantae; Streptophyta; Magnoliopsida; Arecales; Arecaceae. The record is from RNAcentral.
CCGGCAGUUUUGUCAAAAGCUGCAGCAAUGGUGAAUAACGUUGAAUUAUACAAGCAUCCAACAACAUGAGGAUGCACUUGAAUGAUUAGGGCAAACAGUAGGUGAUGUGCAGUGACAAUUAGAAGCAACUAUGCUGCAGACAGAUAACAUGGACCAAAGAUUUGAUGAAGUUACAGAAAUCUUGAAGCGACUCGACAAAGGUAAUUCAGAUCAGACCUCUUCAAAUUUGGAAAACAAUAUCUAGAAG